GUGAGCCUCCUUCCCUGGCAGCUCCCACUAAACUGGCAGAAAAUAGCAAUGAGUUGAAGAAAGAAGCCAUUAAACGAAUGUCACAAGGAGCUGAAGAUCUGACACAUAUUAACAACAUUAAGAGCUGGCAAUAUGGUGGCAACCACAAAAUCAAUGAUUUUCAAACACAUGACCAGGGGACUCUCUAGUGGUUAUUUAAAGAGACAGGACAAUAAAAUUCACCAUCUACUUCUUCCCACCCCUUCAGAAGGCUAAACACGUCCAUGGUUUCUGUUUAAUUACUCCAGCAACUGUUUACAACCUCCUCUAUUCUCUGAGCAAACAUUAGCAUUAUAGGGAGUAAUUUACUGAUACCAACCUUGGCUAAAAAGCACAGAAGCUUUGAAUCUUUCUUUUUAAAGAUCUCCCUCUCUCAUAGCCAACAUAUCACUUCGACUCUGCCCUUGUGAUAGACUCUUCUUCGGAGUGACAACAAGGGACAUGGUCGAGAGCCAAAAAGAAGCAUGAGACUGUCCCAAAUCCCUGAACACUCUUGGAGAGCUGGCAUCUGCCUCCUCUGAAUUCCCUCUGAUCUUUCUAGAAGAAUUGUUAUAUAUAAUUCACAAUAUAAAUGAAAAGAAGAAAAGAAGGGUCAAGGCCACAGAACUGCAGGAAAAACAACAACCCUGCAGCUACUGGUGGACCCAAAGAGCUAAUAGUCUACUAAGGGUAUAAAACAUGUACACAGUAUAUGGUACAAGAAAAUUUAAGCAGGGAACAACUAUUAACAAUUAGGGAGAUUAGGGAAGACUGCCUAUGGCAUAUGGUGAGAUAAACUGUGAAGGAAGCUAAAGAUUCCAAGAGUAAAAGAUUUCAUGCCACUUGGGCCAGAAGUAAAAUGCUACUUGGGUCCAUUUCCUGACUCACCAUGUGAACUAAGACAGUUUUGCUUUCUCUGCCAUCAUAUUGGUUCUUUAUACCACCAUGGACUCUGUCUGAUCUACUGAGGCAAGAGUUCAACCAACAUUGAUGAGAACAGUGACGCUGAGAGACACAUAGCCCAAAGACACACCGUUGGUAUCUGAAGCAAGAUUCAAACUCAGAUCUUCUCAACUCCAUGUUAUACACUUUAUCUGUCAUAUUACUUACCUUAGAGGUAACUGAGAAUUAAAUAGGACUUAGAACUAGAGCCACCGAGAGUUUAUUCAGAAGAGGAGUGGCAUGAUUAUAAUUAAGUUUUGGAAAAUCACCUUGGCAGCUCUAUGGAAGAUGGGCUUGCAAAGGAAAGAGAUUUAAGCCAGGGAGACCAAUGAAGAGGCUUCUGCAAAAGCUUGUGUAACC
RNAcentral lists this long non-coding RNA (1320 nucleotides) under Monodelphis domestica (gray short-tailed opossum). RNAcentral's name for it is "lncRNA (ENSMODG00000037664.1)". The record is from RNAcentral. Lineage: Eukaryota; Metazoa; Chordata; Mammalia; Didelphimorphia; Didelphidae.